UACGUAGGUGGCGAGCGUUGUCCGGAUUUAUUGGGUUUAAAGGGUGCGUAGGCGGCUUUGUAAGUCAGUGGUGAAAUACUCCAGCUUAACUGGAGGGGUGCCAUUGAUACUGCGGAGCUUGAGUACAGAUGAGGUAGGCGGAAUUGACGGUGUAGCGGUGAAAUGCAUAGAUAUCGUCAAGAACACCGAUAGCGAAGGCAGCUUACUGGGCUGUAACUGACGCUGAUGCACGAAAGUGUGGGGAUCAAAACAGGA
Molecule: ribosomal RNA, 255 nt
Filed under: uncultured bacterium
Lineage: Bacteria
Description: partial 16S ribosomal RNA
Rfam family: Bacterial small subunit ribosomal RNA
Source: RNAcentral